GUCUUUAUGAAUGGGAAGCCAAAAGAAGACUUGUUUUUAGGUGGAAUUGAAUUCCACUCGACUUUUCGUUCCACGUGGAGAGAGUCCGACUCCUUCAACUGAUUUCAUUAUCAAUUGAGGAUUUUGGAUUUUUCUUUUAUUUUCUUUUAUUUUCUUUCCCUAUAUUUCCUCCCCACCAAACUUUCUCUCUCCGUUUUUCCCAAACAGCAAAAUUCCCGCAACCCCCAAAAAUUUUCUCGCUCAAGAAAACGAAAAAUGGAAGGAGGGGCUCGUGGAGCCGCAUCAUCGAUCACCAACUCCGGUAGUAGCUCACUGCCUCCGUUUCUGAGCAAAACCUACGACAUGGUCGACGACCCUUCCACCGAUUCCAUCGUCUCUUGGGGAAGCAGGAACAACAGCUUCGUCGUACGGAACGUGGCUUUGUUUGCCAGUGAUCUCUUGCCCAAAUACUUCAAGCACAAUAAUUUCUCUAGCUUCGUCAGGCAGCUGAAUACUUAUGGCUUUAAGAAGGUUGACCCAGACCAAUGGGAAUUCGCAAAUGAAGGGUUUUUAAGAGGUCAAAAGCACCUUUUGAGGAGUAUCAGCAGGCGAAAGCCAGCUCAUAUGCAUAGUUAUCAGCAACCAGAAGUACAGAGCUCUACGGUUGGGGCAUGCAUUGAGGUGGGGAAGUUUGGACUGGAUGAAGAGGUUGAAAGGCUUAAAAGGGACAAGAAUGUUCUUAUGCAGGAACUUGUCAGGUUGAGACAGCAACAGCAAGCUACAGAUCAUCAGUUGCAAAAUGUUGGGCAACGUGUACAGGUAAUGGAGCAGCGUCAGCAGCAAAUGAUGUCAUUUCUUGCAAAGGCUAUGCAUAGUCCUGGCUUCUUAUCCCAUCUUGUGCAGCAGCAAAAUGAAGGUAAAAGGCGCAUCACUGUAGGCAAUAAGAAAAGGAGACUCCCAAGGCAAGGAAAAAAUCCUACAGCUGAGCAUGGAAUUAAUUCUCCUGAUGGGCGAAUGGUGAAGUACCAGCCUUCAAUGAACGAGGCAGCAAAAGCAAUGCUCCAACAGAUCUUGAAGAUGAAUACAUCUCCUAGGCUGCAACCAGGGGUCUGCUAUCCUGAUGCUUUCAUGUUCAAUGAUGUUCCUUCUUCCAAAUUAGACAGUGGGAGAAAUUUUAGGCGGAUUUCGGAAGUGGCCCAUGCGGAGGUUCCACCUUCUGCACAAUCCUUUAUGCUUGAAGAGACUGGCUUUAGUGUCACUUGUCCGUCUGAAGCUAUUUCUGAGAUCCAAUCUUCCCCCCUUGUGGUUGCUAAUGAUGCUAAGGCAGCUCAAUUUUCAGAAACGAAGAGACAGAGUCCUUCAGAGGACAAGGUUUUGCCUGACUUCAGUCAUAUGCAAAGCAUGAACACACAAAGCACUGCAGAAUUCCCUGAUGUGAACUUUUUGAGCCCUGAGACUACAGAUGCAGAAUAUAUUGAUAUGUCAGCAGUUUUGGAUGGGACUAUGCCUUCAGAAGCCGAUGCUUUUUCUCCUGAUCCUGAUGGGGAAAUGUUGGAUGGGGUCCAUAAGCUUCCAGGAAUCAAUGAUGCUUUCUGGGAACAAUUUCUCACAGCAAAUCAUGGAGACACUGAUGAAAUUAAUUCAUGUUCUGUAGAUGGUGAAAUGACCAAGGAUCAGGAAUUGCAAUUAGGGAAGGAGAAUGCAUGGGACAAGACUCAAAAUAUGAAUCAUCUUACUGAGCAGAUGGGGCUUUUGGCAUCUGGGAGUGCAAGGAGUUGAUCUGUCUUUCUAAAUGUAUAUACAUCUUUCUAGUCAUCCAGAGCAUUUCAUCAAAUUUAUGUACCAAUGGUAAUUUAUCUAUUUUACAAUACAGUAAAAUAUAUUGACAAAGUAAAUAUUGCAUUGUCCUUGAUAUCUACCAGACAUCAAGAAAUAACGUGGUUGGUGUUAUACACUGCUGAGAAGCAAGCUUUUCUUCAAAGAGAAAUGACCAGUUAUGAUGGUUGAAGUUUUAGAAACCCUUUUGCUCGUAUGUAUUUCUUUGCAUGGUUUAAGACCUAUCAUGGACAUAAAGCUUGUCAUAGCAACUAAGUAUGCAUUUCUUUUUAUGGGACUCUCGUCAUUAAUAAUGCUCACCUUUGGCUAAAAGGUGCCUUUUUUUUU
Ziziphus jujuba (common jujube) is the source of this 2142-nucleotide RNA transcript. It is a transcript of the gene named heat stress transcription factor A-1e, with no coding region annotated. The record is from RefSeq and is a predicted model, not a curated record. NCBI's taxonomy places the organism in Eukaryota, Viridiplantae, Streptophyta, Magnoliopsida, Rosales, Rhamnaceae. The transcript has 4 exons.